Molecule: ribosomal RNA, 427 nt
Filed under: uncultured bacterium
Lineage: Bacteria
Description: partial 16S ribosomal RNA
Rfam family: Bacterial small subunit ribosomal RNA
Source: RNAcentral
UGGGGAAUAUUGCACAAUGGGCGCAAGCCUGAUGCAGCCAUGCCGCGUGUAUGAAGAAGGCCUUCGGGUUGUAAAGUACUUUCAGCGGGGAGGAAGGCGAUAAGGUUAAUAACCUUGUCGAUUGACGUUACCCGCAGAAGAAGCACCGGCUAACUCCGUGCCAGCAGCCGCGGUAAUACGGAGGGUGCAAGCGUUAAUCGGAAUUACUGGGCGUAAAGCGCACGCAGGCGGUCUGUCAAGUCGGAUGUGAAAUCCCCGGGCUCAACCUGGGAACUGCAUUCGAAACUGGCAGGCUAGAGUCUGGUAGAGGGGGGUAGAAUUCCAGGUGUAGCGGUUAAAUGCGUAGAGAUCUGGAGGAAUACCGGUGGCGAAGGCGGCCCCCUGGACAAAGACUGACGCUCAGGUGCGAAAGCGUGGGGAGCAAACA